This 395-nucleotide ribosomal RNA is filed under the name uncultured bacterium. RNAcentral's name for it is "bacterial SSU rRNA". It matches the Rfam family "Bacterial small subunit ribosomal RNA", at positions 30 to 424 of the family's 1533-position model. The record is from RNAcentral.
AUUGAACGCUGGCGGCAUGCCUUACACAUGCAAGUCGAACGGCAGCACGGGAGCAAUCCUGGUGGCGAGUGGCGAACGGGUGAGUAAUAUAUCGGAACGUGCCCAGUCGUGGGGGAUAACGUAGCGAAAGCUACGCUAAUACCGCAUACGAUCUAUGGAUGAAAGCGGGGGAUCGCAAGACCUCGCGCGAUUGGAGCGGCCGAUAUCAGAUUAGGUAGUUGGUGAGGUAAAGGGCUCACCAAGCCGACGAUCUGUAGCUGGUCUGAGAGGACGACCAGCCACACUGGGACUGAGACACGGCCCAGACUCCUACGGGAGGCAGCAGUGGGGGAAUUUUUGGACAAUGGGCGCAAGCCUGAUCCAGCAAUGCCGCGUGCAGGAUGAAGGCCUCGGUU